RNAcentral lists this unclassified non-coding RNA (1143 nucleotides) under Drosophila yakuba. Its description in RNAcentral is "GE28981". Lineage: Eukaryota; Metazoa; Arthropoda; Insecta; Diptera; Drosophilidae. The record is from RNAcentral.
ACGAUAUAUUUACGCAUCAUAAAUUCCUUGACUUUUCUUUUAGGUUUAACGAAAAAUUUUGUUCAAUAUUUCUUUGAUUGCAAACUGAUAAAAAAAAUCAAAAUGUGCAACUUUUUUUCUGGAAAACUUACCGGUCGAUUAGAAUUAGGUCUUUGGGCCAUCGCCAUAAUAGCACUAAGUGUCGUUAUUAUUAUAUAUGUGUCUACCCGUGAAACCUUUGGAGUAUACCACAAAAUCGCAAUUGGGGGAUUCAGCUUUACAAUUCUUGCUGCAAUAUUCCUUCUGUUUGGUGCAAUCUGGAAAAAGGGCUGUCUUGUGUGGACUUGGGUGGUUAUAAUUAUUUUGGUAGUUAUUAUAAUUACUACCGUAUAUAUUAUCAAGUUGUGCAAAGAAUGGGAGUUUACCACAGAGCGGACUAGAGUAUACACCAUAUUCGGUUUAAUAAUUAGUCCAUGUUUCUGUUUGUAUUUGGUUAUCCUAUCAGUGUUAUAUGCAUUGGAAUUGAAAAAAUCAAGAAGUGAAAUGGAAGACCGUAUCGUUAUAUAUUCUCUGUGGUGCUUUUAAUUGAAAUAUCCCAAUGUAUAUAAAUAAAAAGCAAAAUGUGUGGUCAAAACUAUACCAGUCGAUCAGGAUUCGUUAUGUUUGCCGUCGGCAUAAUAAUGUCGGGUGUCACUAUAAUUGCAAUUACAAUACUUACUUACUUACUUUUCAAUACUAUUUUUUUUGCCCAGGUGAAACCUUUAUUGUAUACCAUAAAAUCAUAAUUGCGGCAUGCAGCGUUGCAAUUUAAGCUGCAAUAUUGCUUCUGCUUGGGACAAUCAUGGAAAAACGCAUUCUUAUGUGGACUUGCUUGGCUAUAAUUAUUGCGAUGGUUUUUACAAUUGCUAUCGUAUUUCUUAUCUGGUUGUUUAAAACUCUUGCGGCAGACAAAAAUAUUUCAUUCCAUGCCACGGCCUAUGUUUAUGGUUUUACAUGAUUCUAUAUCUGGUCUGGUUGUCCUAUCAGUGAAAUAUGUAUUGAAAUGGAAAAAAACAAGAAGUGCAUAGAGAAUCGUUUCAGUGCACACUGCUUUUGAAUGAAGUAUUCUAGUGUAUAUUAAAUUAAUUUGUAAUUUGUCUGUGUCCUUUUCAAAACCAUUUUAAA